This is a long non-coding RNA of Sebastes umbrosus (honeycomb rockfish), 454 nucleotides long. RefSeq lists it as uncharacterized. Lineage: Eukaryota; Metazoa; Chordata; Actinopteri; Perciformes; Sebastidae. The record is from RefSeq and is a predicted model, not a curated record. The transcript has 3 exons.
UAGCUUCUUAUACCCGCUCACCAGUCAGGAUAACACAAGGAAGCGCUGCUCCGGGUUGGAGGAUGUGAAGUCAAUUCCCGCUUAUGAGCUCCAGAAAACUACGAUGUGUUAGCUGGUAACAAAAUGCCGACCGGAAGUUCUGCCGUCUGUCUGACUGACCAGAGAUCUCAGGAUGACUCCCUCCAUCGGCGCCAAACAAAAUGCCAUGCACACAUUUAGUGUUUGAGGCGCUAGAUGGUGCUAAAAGACAGCAUUGAAGGUCAUUGCCUUUUCCUCUCUAUUAGCUAGACGCUCAAUUCUAAUUAAAUGGAAGGAUGUAACCCAUCCAUCACACAAAUGGAUCAAAGAUGUGAUGCAGAACAUCAAGCUGGAAAAAAUCAGAUGCACCCUCAACGGCUUCCUUAAGAGUUUUUACAAAACCUGUGACCCAUUAUUAAACUAUGUGAUUAGUCUA